GUAGGUGGCAAGCGUUGUCGGGAAUUAUUGGGCGUAAAGCGCGCGCAGGCGGUUCUUUAAGUCUGAUGUGAAAGCCCACGGCUCAACCGUGGAGGGUCAUUGGAAACUGGAGAACUUGAGUACAGAAGAGGAGAGCGGAAUUCCACGUGUAGCGGUGAAAUGCGUAGAGAUGUGGAGGAACACCAGUGGCGAAGGCGGCUUGCUGGUCUGUAACUGACGCUGAGGCGCGAAAGCGUGGGGGGAGCAAACAGGAUUAGAUACCCUGGUAGUCCACGCCGUAAACGAUGAGUGCUAAGUGUUAGGGGGUUUCCGCCCCCCCCUUAGUGCUGCAGCUAACGCAUUAAGCACUCCGCCUGGGAGUACGGCCGCAAGGCUG
RNAcentral lists this ribosomal RNA (376 nucleotides) under uncultured organism. RNAcentral describes it as "partial 16S ribosomal RNA". It matches the Rfam family "Bacterial small subunit ribosomal RNA", at positions 527 to 896 of the family's 1533-position model. The record is from RNAcentral.